Molecule: ribosomal RNA, 869 nt
Filed under: uncultured Pseudomonadota bacterium
Lineage: Bacteria; Pseudomonadati; Pseudomonadota
Description: bacterial SSU rRNA
Rfam family: Bacterial small subunit ribosomal RNA
Source: RNAcentral
CAAGUCGAACGCGAAAGCCCCUUCGGGGGUAAGUAGAGUGGCGUCCGGGUGAGUAACACGUAGGUAAUCUACCUCCGGGUGGGGAAUAACGUCUCGAAAGAGACGCUAAUACCGCAUAAUGCAGCGGCACCUAAUGGUGAAUUGUUGUUAAAGCGGGGGACCCUUCGGGGCCUCGUGCCUGGAGAGGAGCCUGCGGCAGAUUAGCUAGUUGGUAGGGUAAUGGCCUACCAAGGCGACGAUCUGUAGCUGGUCUGAGAGGACGGCCAGCCACACUGGCACUGACACACGGGCCAGACUCCUACGGGAGGCAGCAGUGGGGAAUUUUGGGCAAUGGGCGCAAGCCUGACCCAGCAACGCCGCGUGAGGGAGGAAAUCCUUCGGGAUGUAAACCUCACAAGCAAGGGAAGAGCGCGACGGGGUGAAUACCCCCGUCGUCCGACGGUACCUUGCGUAAGCCACGGCUAACUACGUGCCAGCAGCCGCGGUAAUACGUAGGUGGCAAGCGUUGUUCGGAAUUAUUGGGCGUAAAGGGCGCGUAGGCGGUUUGUUAAGUCAGCUGUGAAAGCCCGGGGCUCAACCCCGGAGGGUCAGCUGAUACUGGCAGGCUAGAGUACAGAAGAGGUAACUGGAAUUCCCGGUGUAGCGGUGAAAUGCGUAGAUAUCGGGAGGAACACCUGAGGCGAAGGCGGGUUACUGGGCUGAUACUGACGCUGAUGCGCGAAAGCCAGGGGAGCAAACGGGAUUAGAUACCCCGGUAGUCCUGGCCCUAAACGAUGGAUACUUGGUGUGUCGGGUCUUCAAGUCCCGGCGUGCCGGAGCUAACGCGUUAAGUAUCCCGCCUGGGGAGUACGGUCGCAAGGCUGAAACUC